GAUGAAGAACGCAGCGAAAUGCGAUACUUGGUGUGAAUUGCAGAAUCCCGUGAACCAUCGAGUCUUUGAACGCAAGUUGCGCCCGAAGCCAUCAAGUUGAGGGCACGUCUGCCUGGGCGUCACAUAUCGUUGCCCAAUGCCUAUUGCAGUGCAAUAGGAAUUUCUAGGGCGAAUGAUGGCUUCCCGUGAGCGUUGUUGCCUCGCGGUUGGUUGAAAAUCGAGUCCUUGGUAGGGUGUGCCAUGGUAGAUGGUGGUCGAGUUAGAACGAUACCGAUCAUGUGCAUGCUCCCCAAAAUAUGGCCUCUAUGACCCACACGCGUCUUUUGACGCUCAUGACGAGACCUCAGGUCAGGCGGGGCUACCCGCUGAAUUUAAGCAUAUCAAUAAGCGGAGGA
This 395-nucleotide unclassified non-coding RNA is filed under the name soil metagenome. RNAcentral's name for it is "partial contains 5.8S ribosomal RNA, internal transcribed spacer 2, and large subunit ribosomal RNA". The stretch from base 1 to 122 matches the Rfam family "5.8S ribosomal RNA", at positions 35 to 154 of the family's 154-position model. The record is from RNAcentral.